Molecule: transfer RNA, 50 nt
Filed under: Saurodactylus mauritanicus
Lineage: Eukaryota; Metazoa; Chordata; Lepidosauria; Squamata; Sphaerodactylidae
Description: partial tRNA-His
Source: RNAcentral
GUAAGCAUAGUUUAACUACAAAACACCAACCUGUGGACUUGGUAAUAGGG